CAAUCGAACCCGGAGAUAGCUGGUUCUCCCCGAAAUAGUUUUAGGACUAGCCUCGGAUAAGAAUCUGGUGGGGGUAAAGCACUGAAUGGGCUAGGGGGCAUACCAGCUUACCAACCCCAAUCAAACUCUGAAUACCAUCAGAUGUUUUCCGGGAGUCAGGCGCAGUGAGAUAAGUUUCUGUGUCUCGAGGGAAACAGCCCAGACCGUCGGCUAAGGUCCCAAAGUAUAUGCUGAGUGGGAAAGGAUGUGGAGGUCCUCAGACAGCCAGGAGGUUGGCUUAGAAGCAGCCAUUCCUUUAAAGAGUGCGUAAUAGCUCACUGGUCGAGGGCUUCUGCGCCGAAAAUGUAACGGGGCUAAGCAUAUCACCGAAGCCACGGGUCUAGUGUGAUUUCGUAUCACAUUGGGCGGUAGGGGAGCGUUCUGUGUGUAGGAAGAAGGCAUACCGCGAGGAGUGCUGGACGAAGCAGAAGUGAGAAUGUCGGAACGAGUAGCGAUAAGACGGGUGAGAAACCCGUUCGCCGUAAACCUAAGGUUUCCUGGGGAAGGUUAAUCCUCCCAGGGUUAGUCGGUCCUAAGCCGAGGCCGAGAGGCGUAGGUGAAGGGAAGCAGGUUAAUAUUCCGCACCAUGGAUCAGUUGUUUUAUCGAUGGAGUGACGCAGGGGGUUAUGCCCGCACGGUUUGAUAGGCCGUGUCGAAGGGUGUAGGCUGAUCACACAGGGAAAUCCGUGUGGUCGUUACAAGCUGAGGCCUGACAGGCCACCGAAUCUAAGUAGGUGGAAGGAGCAGAUACCGCGCUGCCGAGAAAAGCUUCUAAGAGAGACUGAUUUGUGACCGUACCGUAAACCGACACAGGUGGGUGAGGAGAAUAUCCUAAGGCGCUCGAAAGAACCCACGUUAAGGAACUCGGCAAAUUGACUCCGUAACUUCGGGAGAAGGAGUGCUCUGGUAGGGUGACUGGACUGCGUUUAAAUAUGCAUGCGAAAGGUAGCCCGAGAGAGUCGCAGAGAAUAGGCUCAGGCGACUGUUUAUCAAAAACACAGGACUCUGCUAACGCGUAUAGCCGACGUAUAGGGUCUGACGCCUGCCCAGUGCUGGAAGGUUACGGGGAGGGGUUAGGAGUGGUAACAUUCCGAAGCUCUGAACUUAAGCCCCAGUGAAUGGCGGCCGUAACUAUAACGGUCCUAAGGUAGCGAAAUCCCUUGUCAGGUAAGUUCUGACCCGCAUGAAUGGCGUAACGGUCUGAGCACUGUCUCAACGUGGGGUUCGGCGAAACUGUGCACCGGGUGAAGACGCCCGGUAUCCGCAUCAGGACAAAAAGACCCCGUGGAGCUUUACUGUAGCUUGAUAUUGGAUUUUGGCCUGUUAUGUAGAGCAUAGGUGGGAGACUAUGAAGCUAGGGCGCCAGCCUUGGUGGAGUCAACAAUGGAAUACCACCCUUAUCAGUCUGGAAUUCUAACCUUGGCCCGUGAUCCGGGUUGGGGACAGUGUCAGGUGGGCAGUUUGACUGGGGCGGUCGCCUCCUAAAGAGUAACGGAGGCGUUCAAAGGUUCCCUCAGCGUGAUUGGAAACCACGCGCAGAGUGUAAAGGCAAAAGGGAGCUUGACUGUGAGGCAAACAAGCCGAUCAGGGACGAAAGUCGGACUUAGUGAUCCGGUGGUACCGAAUGGAAGGGCCAUCGCUCAACGGAUAAAAGCUACCCCGGGGAUAACAGGCUUAUCUCCCCCAAGAGUCCACAUCGACGGGGAGGUUUGGCACCUCGAUGUCGGCUCAUCGCAUCCUGGGGCUGGAGUAGGUCCCAAGGGUUGGGCUGUUCGCCCAUUAAAGCGGUACGUGAGCUGGGUU
Molecule: ribosomal RNA, 1842 nt
Filed under: bioreactor metagenome
Description: bacterial LSU rRNA
Rfam family: Bacterial large subunit ribosomal RNA
Source: RNAcentral